Long non-coding RNA from Branchiostoma belcheri (Belcher's lancelet), 366 nucleotides. RefSeq lists it as uncharacterized. The record is from RefSeq and is a predicted model, not a curated record. Lineage: Eukaryota; Metazoa; Chordata; Leptocardii; Amphioxiformes; Branchiostomatidae. The transcript is spliced from 3 exons.
GGAUGUCUGUCAGGACCGCCUCAGAUCACAACCCCAGCAGCCACGACUGCUCCUCCUGCAGAGGCAGACUGUUCUGCAUAUAAAGCCGCCGGGCACAUCACCAGUGGAGUCUACAUACUUGGCUCACCCCUGUCCGGUGUAGAGGUCUACUGUGACAUGGAUACUGCAGAAGGAGGCUGGACUGUGAUACAGCGACGAAUGGACGGGUCGGUUCCCUUUAACAAGAACUGGGAGGAGUACAAGCAUGGGUUUGGGAACAAGAACGGGGAAUACUGGCUUGGGAACGAGAACAUCCACCGCCUGACUUCCCAUAAGACCUACCGAAUGCGGGUUGACAUGAUGUAUUGGGAUAUGCGGACGUACUAC